GAUGAACGCUGGCGGCGUGCCUAAUACAUGCAAGUCGAGCGAACAGACGAGGAGCUUGCUCCUCUGACGUUAGCGGCGGACGGGUGAGUAACACGUGGAUAACCUACCUAUAAGACUGGGAUAACUUCGGGAAACCGGAGCUAAUACCGGAUAAUAUAUUGAACCGCAUGGUUCAAUAGUGAAGGACGGUUUUGCUGUCACUUAUAGAUGGAUCCGCGCCGCAUUAGCUAGUUGGUAAGGUAACGGCUUACCAAGGCGACGAUGCGUAGCCGACCUGAGAGGAUGAUCGGCCACACUGGAACUGAGACACGUGCCAGACUCCUACGGGAGGCAGCAGUAGGGAAUCUUCCGCAAUGGGCGAAAGCCUGACGGAGCAACGCCGCGUGAGUGAUGAAGGUCUUCGGAUCGUAAAACUCUGUUAUUAGGGAAGAACAAAUGUGUAAGUAACUAUGCACGUCUUGACGGUACCUAAUCAGAAAGCCACGGCUAACUACGUG
This 497-nucleotide ribosomal RNA is filed under the name uncultured bacterium. RNAcentral's name for it is "partial 16S ribosomal RNA". It matches the Rfam family "Bacterial small subunit ribosomal RNA", at positions 28 to 507 of the family's 1533-position model. The record is from RNAcentral.